RNAcentral lists this ribosomal RNA (321 nucleotides) under Crypthecodinium cohnii. RNAcentral describes it as "partial Bacterial small subunit ribosomal RNA". It matches the Rfam family "Bacterial small subunit ribosomal RNA", at positions 240 to 578 of the family's 1533-position model. Lineage: Eukaryota; Dinophyceae; Gonyaulacales; Crypthecodiniaceae. The record is from RNAcentral.
AUUAGCUAGUUGGUGGGGUAAUGGCUCACCAAGUCGACGAUCCGUAACUGGUCUGAGAGGAUGAUCAGUCACACCGGAACUGAGACACGGUCCAGACUCCUACGGGAGGCAGCAGUGGGGAAUAUUGGACAAUGGGCGCAAGCCUGAUCCAGCCAUGCCGCGUGAGUGAUGAAGGCCUUAGGGUUGUAAAGCUCUUUUACCCGGGAUGAUAAUGACAGUACCGGGAGAAUAAGCUCCGGCUAACUCCGUGCCAGCAGCCGCGGUAAUACGGAGGGAGCUAGCGUUGUUCGGAAUUACUGGGCGUAAAGCGCACGUAGGCGG